UACGGAGGGUGCAAGCGUUGCUCGGAAUUAUUGGGCGUAAAGGGUAGGUAGGUGGUCUCAUUUGUCUGGGGUGAAAGCCUUGAGCUUAACUCAAGAAGUGCCCCAGAAACGGUGAGACUAGAGUCCUGGAGAGGGUCGUUGAAUUCCCGGUGUAGCGGUGAAAUGCGUAGAGAUCGGGAGGAACACCAGAGGCGAAGGCGGCGACCUGGACAGGCACUGACACUCAACUACGAAAGCGUGGGGAGCAAACAGG
RNAcentral lists this ribosomal RNA (253 nucleotides) under uncultured bacterium. RNAcentral describes it as "partial 16S ribosomal RNA". It matches the Rfam family "Bacterial small subunit ribosomal RNA", at positions 524 to 776 of the family's 1533-position model. The record is from RNAcentral.